Molecule: ribosomal RNA, 303 nt
Filed under: uncultured bacterium
Lineage: Bacteria
Description: partial 16S ribosomal RNA
Rfam family: Bacterial small subunit ribosomal RNA
Source: RNAcentral
AGCAGUCGCCGCGGUAAUACGGAGGGUGCAAGCGUUAAUCGGAAUUACUGGGCGUAAAGCGCACGCAGGCGGUCUGACAAGUCAGAUGUGAAAUCCCCGGGCUUAACCUGGGAACUGCAUUUGAAACUGUCAGGCUGGAGUCUUGUAGAGGGGGGUAGAAUUCCAGGUGUAGCGGUGAAAUGCGUAGAGAUCUGGAGGAAUACCGGUGGCGAAGGCGGCCCCCUGGACAAAGACUGACGCUCAGGUGCGAAAGCGUGGGGAGCAAACAGGAUUAGAGACCCGUGUAGUCCCUGUCUCUUAUAA